GACGAACGCUGGCGGCGUGCUUAACACAUGCAAGUCGAACGGUAAGGCCCUUCGGGGUACACGAGUGGCGAACGGGUGAGUAACACGUGGGUGAUCUGCCCUGCACUUCGGGAUAAGCCUGGGAAACUGGGUCUAAUACCGGAUAGGACUCCGGACUGCAUGGGCUGGGGUGGAAAGCGUUUGCGGUGUGGGAUGGGCCCGCGGCCUAUCAGCUUGUUGGUGGGGUGAUGGCCUACCAAGGCGACGACGGGUAGCCGGCCUGAGAGGGUGACCGGCCACACUGGGACUGAGAUACGGCCCAGACUCCUACGGGAGGCAGCAGUGGGGAAUAUUGCACAAUGGGCGCAAGCCUGAUGCAGCGACGCCGCGUGAGGGAUGACGGCCUUCGGGUUGUAAACCUCUUUCAGCAUCGACGAAGCGAAAGUGACGGUAGGUGCAGAAGAAGGACCGGCCAACUACGUGCCAGCCGCCGCGGUAA
RNAcentral lists this ribosomal RNA (478 nucleotides) under uncultured bacterium. RNAcentral describes it as "partial 16S ribosomal RNA". It matches the Rfam family "Bacterial small subunit ribosomal RNA", at positions 28 to 523 of the family's 1533-position model. The record is from RNAcentral.